Molecule: transfer RNA, 72 nt
Filed under: Stegodyphus mimosarum
Lineage: Eukaryota; Metazoa; Arthropoda; Arachnida; Araneae; Eresidae
Rfam family: tRNA
About the family: Transfer RNA (tRNA) molecules are approximately 80 nucleotides in length. Their secondary structure includes four short double-helical elements and three loops (D, anti-codon, and T loops).
Source: Rfam by way of RNAcentral
GCCUUUGUGGUGUAACGGUUAGAACACUCGGCAGUAAUUCGAGAGGACCAGGUUCGAGUCCCGGCCAGGGCA